GUCCUCGUAGUUCAAUGGAUAGAACGCAAGAUUGCGGAUCUUGUGAUCUAGGUUCGAUUCCUAGCGAGGGCA
RNAcentral lists this transfer RNA (72 nucleotides) under Candidatus Buchananbacteria bacterium RBG_13_39_9. RNAcentral describes it as "tRNA-Arg". It matches the Rfam family "tRNA". Rfam says of the family: Transfer RNA (tRNA) molecules are approximately 80 nucleotides in length. Their secondary structure includes four short double-helical elements and three loops (D, anti-codon, and T loops). The record is from RNAcentral. Lineage: Bacteria; Candidatus Buchananiibacteriota.